RNAcentral lists this ribosomal RNA (1258 nucleotides) under Staphylococcus aureus R0487. RNAcentral's name for it is "bacterial SSU rRNA". It matches the Rfam family "Bacterial small subunit ribosomal RNA", at positions 8 to 1247 of the family's 1533-position model. The record is from RNAcentral. Lineage: Bacteria; Bacillati; Bacillota; Bacilli; Caryophanales; Staphylococcaceae.
AGAGUUUGAUCCUGGCUCAGGAUGAACGCUGGCGGCGUGCCUAAUACAUGCAAGUCGAGCGAACGGACGAGAAGCUUGCUUCUCUGAUGUUAGCGGCGGACGGGUGAGUAACACGUGGAUAACCUACCUAUAAGACUGGGAUAACUUCGGGAAACCGGAGCUAAUACCGGAUAAUAUUUUGAACCGCAUGGUUCAAAAGUGAAAGACGGUCUUGCUGUCACUUAUAGAUGGAUCCGCGCUGCAUUAGCUAGUUGGUAAGGUAACGGCUUACCAAGGCAACGAUGCAUAGCCGACCUGAGAGGGUGAUCGGCCACACUGGAACUGAGACACGGUCCAGACUCCUACGGGAGGCAGCAGUAGGGAAUCUUCCGCAAUGGGCGAAAGCCUGACGGAGCAACGCCGCGUGAGUGAUGAAGGUCUUCGGAUCGUAAAACUCUGUUAUUAGGGAAGAACAUAUGUGUAAGUAACUGUGCACAUCUUGACGGUACCUAAUCAGAAAGCCACGGCUAACUACGUGCCAGCAGCCGCGGUAAUACGUAGGUGGCAAGCGUUAUCCGGAAUUAUUGGGCGUAAAGCGCGCGUAGGCGGUUUUUUAAGUCUGAUGUGAAAGCCCACGGCUCAACCGUGGAGGGUCAUUGGAAACUGGAAAACUUGAGUGCAGAAGAGGAAAGUGGAAUUCCAUGUGUAGCGGUGAAAUGCGCAGAGAUAUGGAGGAACACCAGUGGCGAAGGCGACUUUCUGGUCUGUAACUGACGCUGAUGUGCGAAAGCGUGGGGAUCAAACAGGAUUAGAUACCCUGGUAGUCCACGCCGUAAACGAUGAGUGCUAAGUGUUAGGGGGUUUCCGCCCCUUAGUGCUGCAGCUAACGCAUUAAGCACUCCGCCUGGGGAGUACGACCGCAAGGUUGAAACUCAAAGGAAUUGACGGGGACCCGCACAAGCGGUGGAGCAUGUGGUUUAAUUCGAAGCAACGCGAAGAACCUUACCAAAUCUUGACAUCCUUUGACAACUCUAGAGAUAGAGCCUUCCCCUUCGGGGGACAAAGUGACAGGUGGUGCAUGGUUGUCGUCAGCUCGUGUCGUGAGAUGUUGGGUUAAGUCCCGCAACGAGCGCAACCCUUAAGCUUAGUUGCCAUCAUUAAGUUGGGCACUCUAAGUUGACUGCCGGUGACAAACCGGAGGAAGGUGGGGAUGACGUCAAAUCAUCAUGCCCCUUAUGAUUUGGGCUACACACGUGCUACAAUGGACAAUACAAAGGGC